AACUGCAUCGGCGGCUGGGGCCAUUGGCUUUACAAAGAUUAUUUACAAGGGUGUUUUAAAUUAUUAAAAAUACAUUACGGAUAAAUAUACAAUAUAAGUUAUUACUAUUCUAAAUAUUUUUGUGUAGUUCUGUGUCCCUAAGGAAUUUGAAAACAUUUAUAAUACCGGUAUUUAGAUUUUCCGCUAAAUAGUGGUUCAAUUUGUAUUUCAGAUGUUGUGGCUCGUACUUCCUGCAUUCAGUUAGAAUGUUUUUGACUGUCAGAGGAUAGUUGCAAGUUGGGCAUGUAGGUGGAACUUCUUUCUUCAUCAAGAAAAUAUGCGUUAUUCUGGUAAAUGUGAUGUAAAUUAUUAUUGACGAAUGUAUUCUAAUCUUCUGGUAAGUUAACAGUCAUCCGUAUUUAGAGUAAAGGAUCAAUGUAAACUGAAGCAACGAAUUGAAAUUUCAUCAUAUAUACAACUAAAAAUUUUUUUAUAAAAACUCAUACAUGUCUUUGCAUGUAGAUACAUUUUAUUCGGAAAACGCAAACAUUAAAUUUCAAAUUCGAUUCAAGUUGUACAACUUAAAAUUUUUCUCUCGUGAAACUCUUGAUGAAUACUUUUUUAUGCAAUGAUCAUAAAUACAUAGAUGAUUUUCAAUUAUUAAGACAAAUUGGAUGUUGAAAUCAGGAUGGUCUUUCAAAGUUGGAAUGGAAAUGGUAAAUCGUAAGUUAUAUAAAACAAUUAAUAAUAAAAGAAAUAUAGAUACUAUACA
Sipha flava (yellow sugarcane aphid) is the source of this 751-nucleotide long non-coding RNA. RefSeq lists it as uncharacterized. The record is from RefSeq and is a predicted model, not a curated record. NCBI's taxonomy places the organism in Eukaryota, Metazoa, Arthropoda, Insecta, Hemiptera, Aphididae. The transcript has 4 exons.